Molecule: long non-coding RNA, 897 nt
Filed under: Sus scrofa (pig)
Lineage: Eukaryota; Metazoa; Chordata; Mammalia; Artiodactyla; Suidae
Description: lncRNA (ENSSSCG00055020501.1)
Source: RNAcentral
AUGCAGUGUCCCCCUGUGGUGGUUUUUGGGGCAUGGGCUGUACCCAUGGCUGGGUUUUUCUCUCCAGAUAUCUGCACAACUUUCAUCUUCCCUCUGCACCUGGCCGAGUUGCUUCAGCCUCUACAAGACACAUAUUUGAAGGAAGUUCUCUCAAUCCUGGUAAGGAAAGUGAGUGAAAGGACAUCUACAUCCUCCUCCUUCCCACUCCACCUGAGCCACCUACGCCUCUUCAGGGGGCCCCAAGGGACCUACCUUAAUCCAGAUCAAAUCUCCUCAAACUUCUUCCCUCACACCCAAGUCUCUUCCCCCCCUAGGAGUCUCCUGGUGCAUGGAACUUACCAGAAACUGGGGUUCCCCAAAGCCUCUGUCUGCCUUCUGCAGCUGAGCUGCUUCAGCCUCUGUGGGACACCCAUUUGAAGGAAUCUGUCCAAAUCCAUGUAAGGUAUUGGAUUUCCUCCUCACUAGACACCUGUUCCAAAGAAGCUCCUGCAACAAGGGUGUGGGCUUGUGUCGUGAAGGUUGAGUAUCCAGGGUGACAGUGAAGAAUCCAUACUCCCACCCAAGAGUGGAUUUCAGUGUGCCUGAGAGGAAGAGGAAGUAAGACAUCUUGCUGGCUUGUCCCCCAGGUCAGUGCAGACCAGAGUUUUGCUGUGGGAGGCAGAGGAAUGGCUGAGUCGCUGUUAGAGCACAUGUCCACCAGAGGGCGCCAGAGCCCCUCAUCGCCUCUCUGCAGCUCCCUGUUUGUAUCUCCAGGCUCAGAAGGAGAUGGUAGAGGGAUGCGUGGAACCUCAGGGAGGGGCCCAGAGCCCGGUGUUGGUUUGCAUGGUGUCUCUGACAUUGUGGCCCCAUUUGCCUCAGUGCAGGGAAGGGACACAUUUCUGCCAUUAAAUAUCUAAU